Molecule: ribosomal RNA, 435 nt
Filed under: uncultured bacterium
Lineage: Bacteria
Description: partial 16S ribosomal RNA
Rfam family: Bacterial small subunit ribosomal RNA
Source: RNAcentral
AGCGAACGCUGGCGGCAUGCUUAACACAUGCAAGUCGAACGGGCAUCUUCUGAUUUCAGUGGCAGACGGGUUGGUAACACGUUGGAACGUACCCUUCUGUUCUGAAUAACUCAUUGAAACUUGUGCUAAUACCUGAUACGCCCUCUUGGUGGAAGGUUUUCUGCCGUAGUAUCGGCCCGCGUCUGUUUAGCUUUUUGGUGGGGUAACGGCCUACCCAGGCGACGAUCAGUAGCUGGUCUGAGAGGAUGAUCAGCCACACUGGGACUGCGACACGGACCAGAAUCGUACGGGAGGGAGCAGUAGGGAAUAUUGGACAAUGAGGGCAAGCCUGAUCCAGCCAUGCCGCGUGAGUGAUGAAGGCCUUAGGGUUGUAAAGCUCUUUUGUCCGGGACGAUAAUGACGGUACCGGAAGAAUAAGCCCCGGCUAACUUCGUG